GGGGGAUAACACUUGGAAACAGGUGCUAAUACCGCAUAACCAUAGUUACCGCAUGGUAACUAUGUAAAAGGUGGCUAUACUACCGCUUUUGGAUGGGCCCGCGGCGCAUUAGCUAGUUGGUAGGGUAAAGGCUUACCAAGGCAAUGAUGCGUAGCCGAAUUGAGAGGUUGAUCGGCCACAUUGGGACUGAGACACGGCCCAAACUCCUACGGGAGGCAGCAGUAGGGAAUCUUCCACAAUGGGCGAAAGCCUGAUGGAGCAACGCCGCGUGGGUGAAGAAGGUCUUCGGAUCGUAAAACCCUGUUGUUAGAGAAGAAAGUGCGUGAGAGUAACUGUUCACGUUUCGACGGUAUCUAACCAGAAAGCCACGGCUAACUACGUGCCAGCAGCCGCGGUAAUACGUAGGUGGCAAGCGUUAUCCGGAUUUAUUGGGCGUAAAGGGAACGCAGGCGGUCUUUUAAGUCUGAUGUGAAAGCCUUCGGCUUAACCGGAGUAGUGCAUUGGAAACUGGGAGACUUGAGUGCAGAAGAGGAGAGUGGAACUCCAUGUGUAGCGGUGAAAUGCGUAGAUAUAUGGAAGAACACCAGUGGCGAAAGCGGCUCUCUGGUCUGUAACUGACGCUGAGGUUCGAAAGCGUGGGUAGCAAACAGGAUUAGAUACCCUGGUAGUCCACGCCGUAAAC
This 682-nucleotide ribosomal RNA is filed under the name uncultured bacterium. RNAcentral describes it as "bacterial SSU rRNA". It matches the Rfam family "Bacterial small subunit ribosomal RNA", at positions 138 to 807 of the family's 1533-position model. The record is from RNAcentral.